AUUUAUAAUCAACAGACAUCUAGGCUUGCUGUCAAAGCUUCUGUUCAACAUGAGAUGACCGCCGUGUAGUAAACUGAUGAACCCCGACCCUGAUCAACGUCAGAUGAAUGCCGUGUGGUAAACUGAUGAACCCCGACCCUGAUCAACGUGAGAUGAACGCCGUGUGGUAAACUGAUGAACCCCGACGCUGAUGAACGUGAGAUGAACGCCGUGUGGUAAACUGAUGAACCCCAACCCUGAUGAACAUGAGAUGAACGCCGUGUGGUAAACUGAUGAACCCCGACCCUGAUGAAUGUGAGAUGACCGCUGUGUGGUAAACUGAUGAACCCUGACCCUGAUCAACAUGAGAUGACCGCUGUGUAGUAAACUGAUGAACCCUGACCCAUUAGGCUUUGGCUACAGAAUGUGGAAAUAAGUUGUGUUACUACAUGUGUGUAAUCCUAGGGUGCAGGACACUGGCCGGGAGGUUCCAUAGAGUGAUGGGUUGUGCAGGUAACUCAUCCUCUAGUCCUCUGUAAGCUCCUAGAAGGAAGAAAUUAUGUCCUUUAGACUAAUAAAAUUCCUCCAAACCAAAUACAGCACCUACUGUGAAGACACAAAGAUACUUUUAGAAUAGUAAAAACUUUAUCCAUUGAGAAAUUCCUUAAUGAAACAGUAUCCAAGAAGUCAUUUGCCAGCAGAUUUCUUAGAGGUGCGAUAAAGAAGAGGACAUUGCCAGUCGUCACAGCAGCUGCAAUAGCUCCUCUCUAUUGUUAAACAGUGGCAUAUCUUGUACAGGUUUUCAGUUGACAAUCAAUUUUAAAAAUUAGUUUCGGUCCCAUCAAUCAAUUAUUUAUUAACCCAUCAAUAAAAAUUUAAAUGCUCUGUGAGGUACAAUAGCUAUUAAAAGAGACAGAGGCACUUUCUGUGUCCAGAGGGGCUUUUAGUCUGCUCUGGAAAGCAAGAUGUAUGCAGAUGAGUGACGCAGUGCAUCGUGUGGAUGCAAAGGGAGGGACUCACAUGGGAACCAGAGGAGCUACGAAGGGAGGCAGCGGGGACUGGUGGGUCGAGACCUGGAAAUAACACAUGAAUAGGCAACAAAGGUUUCCGUUCCUCUUCCAUGCACUUCAGUCCUUGAAAAACGUCUCACCACGGAAUUCCACAGCGUACCAAGCGAUUCCACAGCUUGAUGGCACACUCUCCUUUCUCAGCAUUCUUGAAAAUGGCAUGUGAGCCAAGCCAUCUUACUGAGAAAUUACCUUAAACCAUUUGAUGAACCAAAAAUAUUUUGUAAUACCCAUCUCUGACAUUAGGUAGGCAAAUCACACAGAAACACCGAGGUCUUCUGAGUCAUAUUUAUCUGAAAAAUCACAGCUUGGGUGCAUGUGAAGCCAGAGGAGCACUCCUGGGGCCUGCGGUGCCAUCGCUCAACUCCCCUGGGCUUCACAUGGCCAUGGAGCACCCAGCAAGUGCAGGCUCUGAGCCUUCAGGGAGGGGCGGCAUCAGCCAGCACCAUCGUCUCCUGGGUCUUGUGCCUCUUCCUUGGUUGCGGUGUCAGGGCCAGAAUUGGGCAAUUCCGGGUGACAUCCAGGUGUGGCUGCUGACACGGAGCACAGGUGAGGUUCACUGAGGACGCCCUGCUCCUGUGGUUUGCAGCCCCGGCCUUCUCUUCGAGGACGCCUCUGCUCUUCUGCCUCACAUUCGGAUUGGACCUUCUUCAGCACAGCCAGUGGCCAAGGCUUCCUCCCUGGGGCUCAGUGGAGCAGGACAGAUGCUGCAUCCAAACUCUUCCAUUGGGUUCCAGUCUGUUCCAGUCAUGCCCUUGAGCCUCUAAAGCUCCUAGUUCCAUAGACCACAGGAAACGCAGGCGAGAGGGCAGCCCGGCGGGAAGGAAGGAAGAGGGUGGUGUUGAGCCAGUGGCACAAUGGACUUUAGACAUCGCGCCUGUUUUGUACUCUCCAAGCCGGACUUCUCUACUCGCCGGCCUGGCGCUGAUGCCCAGAGGCCCCCUGUGCUUGUGAUCGUGGCCUUAGACAGUUCCCUGCCCUUCGUUCCAGCCCCGCCACACAGUCUGCACGGCCUCCACCGCAGCUCUGGUGAGCCUCUUGGCCAGCUCCUGGUGACAGCGUGCACCUCCCUGCUCUGAGAAGGUCUCCCUCUCCUCUCUGCCCACCCUGUACAGAGACAUCUUUCAAGACCGUCCCAGAGGAGAGUGGCCUCUCUCCUCCACCCCAAGAGGACAGCCUCUCAUGUGGCUGUCACCCAUCUGACCCCUACCACAGACCUGAGGGUAAGUGGUGCUCACGGGCCCAUAUCUGCCAGCCUGCGCCUGGUUGGAGACGCCUCCCUCUCAUUUGUCCUUGCUUGCUGCAUGACUUUGGCAAGUGCUUGCCUCUUUGAGACCCUCAGUUUUCACACCUGAGAAAUAGAAAGGCGGUGCCUGCCCCAGCUGCCCCGCAGAAGAGUUUAGGUGGCAUGUGAGAAAAUGCCUUAUGAACUACGAUGUGAGCAACUGCAGCAUGCUGUGAACACCGCUUUCAUGAGCUCCUCGGGGGCAGGGUAACACCCAAGCAUUCUUACACCUCCCACCGGGAGGCGUAUGCAAAUGAAGGCCAUCAAGCUUGUUUGAUCAGUGAUGUAUUUCUUUAUUUUUAGUUGUAGGAUAUGACAACUCUAUUUUUAGCAGCUAUAGCGGCCAAAACUUUGUUACCACUCAGCAGUUGUGUGUUCUUCGAGAGUAGGUUUUGUGCUUUCAAAAUAUCUGAAUCCUCUACCAUUUACAGGUGUUCUGUGCAUACUUGGUGUAUGAGUUGCUCAGGAAGGAAGAAAAAUAUGCCCUUUUUAUCUUUUAAAAAGAUGGCUUGGCUUGGUACUCCUUUGCCUGCAUUCCUUCUCUGUAUUUAGAAACGAACCCACGCAAGUGAACGUAAAGGAAGCCUCUUGAAAGAUA
RNAcentral lists this long non-coding RNA (2929 nucleotides) under Pan troglodytes (chimpanzee). Its description in RNAcentral is "long non-coding RNA NONPTRT000004". The record is from RNAcentral. Lineage: Eukaryota; Metazoa; Chordata; Mammalia; Primates; Hominidae.